GACGGAGGGUGCUAGCGUUGUUCGGAAUUACUGGGCGUAAAGGGCGCGUAGGCGGCUCUUUCAGUCGGGUGUGAAAGCCCGGGGCUCAACCCCGGAACGGCACCCGAGACGGGAGGGCUGGAGACCGGGAGAGGAGGGUGGAAUAGCCAGUGUAGAGGUGAAAUUCGUAGAUAUUGGCUGGAACACCGGUGGCGAAAGCGGCUCUCUGGCCCGGUUCUGACGCUGAGGCGCGAAAGCGUGGGGAGCAAACAGG
RNAcentral lists this ribosomal RNA (253 nucleotides) under uncultured bacterium. Its description in RNAcentral is "partial 16S ribosomal RNA". It matches the Rfam family "Bacterial small subunit ribosomal RNA", at positions 524 to 776 of the family's 1533-position model. The record is from RNAcentral.